Molecule: ribosomal RNA, 748 nt
Filed under: uncultured prokaryote
Description: bacterial SSU rRNA
Rfam family: Bacterial small subunit ribosomal RNA
Source: RNAcentral
GGCAGCUNGCUGGACUGUAACUGACGCUGAGGCACGAAAGCGUGGGGAUCAAACAGGAUUAGAUACCCUGGUAGNCCACGCNGUAAACGAUGAAUGCUAGCUGUUAGCGAUAUACUGUUAGCGGCACAGAGAAAUCGUUAAGCAUUCCACCUGGGGAGUACGCCGGCAACGGUGAAACUCAAAGGAAUUGACGGGGGNCCGCACAAGCGGAGGAACAUGUGGUUUAAUUCGAUGAUACGCGAGGAACCUUACCUGGGCUUAAAUUGCAGUGGAAUAACGUGGAAACAUGUUAGCCUUCGGGCCGCUGUGAAGGUGCUGCAUGGUUGUCGUCAGCUCGUGCCGUGAGGUGUCGGCUUAAGUGCCAUAACGAGCGCAACCCUCAUCGAUAGUUACUAACAGGUUAAGCUGAGGACUCUAUCGAGACUGCCGACGUAAGUCGUGGGGAAGGUGGGGAUGACGUCAAAUCAGCACGGCCCUUACGUCCAGGGCUACACACGUGUUACAAUGGGGGGUACAAAGGGCAGCUACCUGGCGACAGGAUGCUAAUCUCAAAAACCUCUCUCAGUUCGGAUUGGAGUCUGCAACCCGACUCCAUGAAGCUGGAUUCGCUAGUAAUCGCGCAUCAGCCACGGCGCGGUGAAUACGUUCCCGGGCCUUGUACACACCGCCCGUCAAGCCAUGGGAGCCGGGGGGACCUGAAGUAUGCAACCGUAAGGAGCGUCCUAGGGUAAAACUGGUGACUGGGGCU